This 253-nucleotide ribosomal RNA is filed under the name uncultured bacterium. RNAcentral describes it as "partial 16S ribosomal RNA". It matches the Rfam family "Bacterial small subunit ribosomal RNA", at positions 524 to 776 of the family's 1533-position model. The record is from RNAcentral.
UACGUAGGUGGCAAGCGUUGUCCGGAUUUACUGGGCGUAAAGGGCGUGCAGGCGGUUUGUUAAGUGCAGGGUGAAAGCUCCCGGCUCAACUGGGAGAGGUCCUUGCAUACUGGCAAACUCGAGGGAGGCAGAGGAAAGUGGAAUUCCCGGUGUAGUGGUGAUAUGCGUAGAUAUAGGAAGGAACACCAGUGGCGAAGGCGACCACCUGGACUGAUACUGACACUGAGGUGCGAAAGCGUGGGGAGCAAACAGG